RNAcentral lists this ribosomal RNA (497 nucleotides) under uncultured bacterium. RNAcentral's name for it is "partial 16S ribosomal RNA". It matches the Rfam family "Bacterial small subunit ribosomal RNA", at positions 28 to 507 of the family's 1533-position model. The record is from RNAcentral.
GAUGAACGCUGGCGGCGUGCCUAAUACAUGCCAGUCGAGCGAACAGACGAGGAGCUUGCUCCUCUGACGUUAGCGGCGGACGAGUGAGUAACACGUGGAUAACCUACCUAUAAGACUGGGAUAACUUCGGGAAACCGGAGCUAAUACCGGAUAAUAUAUUGAACCGCAUGGUUCAAUAGUGAAAGACGGUUUUGCUGUCACUUAUAGAUGGAUCCGCGCCGCAUUAGCUAGUUGGUAAGGUAACGGCUUACCAAGGCAACGAUGCGUAGCCGACCUGAGAGGGUGAUCGGCCACACUGGAACUGAGACACGGUCCAGACUCCUACGGGAGGCAGCAGUAGGGAAUCUUCCGCAAUGGGCGAAAGCCUGACGGAGCAACGCCGCGUGAGUGAUGAAGGUCUUCGGAUCGUAAAACUCUGUUAUUAGGGAAGAACAAAUGUGUAAGUAACUAUGCACGUCUUGUCGGUACCUAAUCAGAAAGCCACGGCUAACUACGUG